GCCAGGGAAGGAGGGAUAGCUUAGGCGGACCAGCGGAAGAGUGGAUCAUAAUUGGUUUUUGUACAACAGUUUUCGGGACUGGAAACAAUAUAUGCAAUGUUAUGAGUUGGUCAAGUUGGCAACACUGCAGUGGAGACUCUUCCGCCGAGGUAGAAACAGGAGGGGGAGAAGGGAGAGGAGAGAGAGAGAGGGAGGAAGGAAUAGAGGGAGGGGAUGUUACGUCGAUUCCCCUGAAGACAAGUGGAAUAGAACGGAAUAACAAGUGGAUGGAUGGGUGAAUGGAAGCAAUAGACAUCACAGCUGGGAAUAGACAGAGGUUAAACAUACACUAAGCAAUGUAGCAUAUGGUAAAAAUCAGGGAUGUAUGGAUAGCCUAUAGAUAAAUUUACUUAGCAAUGCGUUAGACAAAUAUAAACAUGUAUUAGGCAAAGCUUUAACUAGCAUAAGGCAGCUGGGUUAGGUUAGAACAUGUAUAGAUCAAUAGAGUGGGCACUGGGCUAUGUUAAGUGGGUAUAUGGGUCUACCUAACAGGCUGAGGAUUGGAAGGCGUUAACACUAGGCUACUAUAGAGGAAAUGUAUCGAACAAUGGAAAUAGAGGAAGGGUUUGAACUGGAUUGAGGAAGAUGGAGAAGGGUCAUUGCCAAGUCCGACCCCAGGAACAGGUGGACUAUGAAAAGACUGGACUAAUACAUGUACUAAGAGUGGCCAAGAUUGAGCUCAUCCCAGGUAACUUGUGGGUAGGUUUAGAUAAGGCUGCAAGGUUGAAUUAUACUGAGCUUGAAGGUUAAGUUAGGUUAGACUAAGUUUAGAAUAGAAUCAGAUUAGGUCAACUUACAGCUUGGUUAGGUUUUACGAUAAGGUUACCUAAUAUCCAGUAUAGCUUAGUUUGGUUAGGUCACAGUAAGACUUGGCUAGGAAAAGGUUAAGUUAGGUUAGGUUAAGUUUAGAAUAGAAUCAGAUUAGGUCAACUUACAGCUUGGUCAGGUUUUAGGAUAAGGUUAGCUUAGAUCCAUCAUAGCUUGGUUUGGUUAAGUUAACAUUAGAUUAAGUUACAGUAAGAUCUGAAGAGAGAAAGGUUAAGUUAGGUUAAGUUUAGAAUAGAAUCAGAUUAGGUCAACUUACAGCUUGGUUAGG
Eriocheir sinensis (Chinese mitten crab) is the source of this 1135-nucleotide long non-coding RNA. RefSeq lists it as uncharacterized. The transcript is spliced from 3 exons. Lineage: Eukaryota; Metazoa; Arthropoda; Malacostraca; Decapoda; Varunidae. The record is from RefSeq and is a predicted model, not a curated record.